This is a long non-coding RNA of Physella acuta, 1938 nucleotides long. RefSeq lists it as uncharacterized. Lineage: Eukaryota; Metazoa; Mollusca; Gastropoda; Physidae. The record is from RefSeq and is a predicted model, not a curated record.
AAGCUAUGUAUUAACUAUUAGAUUACAUUUACAGUUAACAGUACUAGACUCUAGUACUCAUUAAGUAAUUUAGUAGUUUUAGCCACACUUUUUGUCACCUAGGUGUAGGAUCUACAUUGAUUUUAAAAGAUGUUUAGUUUACUAUUCCAAGUAUUUUCUAAUAAUGAAAAUAAUGCAAAAUUAUUCUAAUUAUUGCUAAACCGAAAAGUCUCGAGUUCAAACCCUUGGGCUGAUGAGGCUUGUUAGCUGGGGAUAGCCACUCUUCUAGGAGAGAAAACUCCAAAAUCAAACAUCUGCUGCCUUGUAGAUUGUUCUUGGUUGGACAAAGGCUAUGGAAGCAAAUCCAAAGGAAAAGCAGGCUGAAAUUGGAGUCAAUGGCCUUAAUGGUGCAUAACCAGUUGACACGUAACGCUUAAUUGUGAUGGAAGCAUGGUCGAGUCGGCAAAGCUCAUGGUUGAUAAAUUCAAAAAAAGUUAUCUGGAAGAUAAGGCUCGAUCCCUUCCAACACUAAAAAUUAAGAACGAAGAAGAAGAAGAAAAAGAUUCUAACACAAGUUACGCAAUAUAAAAAUAAUAAUAAAGGCUUUUAAAUUUACUUAAAAUUGGUUUAAUUUAGCAUUUAUUUAUAGCCAUCCCCCCAAAAUCAGCAUUUGGGACAAAUGUAGCUGAGCCAUUACCAUUUUUAAUUUUAUAUAUUAUCUCCUAGUUUAUACUAACUCCACAAUAAAAAUAAUUAAUUUCUAACCCCAAAAUAGUUUAUGCUGUGUACACACACUUUAAAUAAUACCAGCUAUCACUAGGCCCCAUUGGACCAGUCCUAAAUGUAUACAAUUGUAGAUCUACAUAGGGUCUACAGUCUUGUAGUUUACAGUAGGUACAUUAGUAUACCUAGUGUGUAGCUGUUCAGAGUUAAGAUUCUUUGAUGUAAAAAGGGUGGUACUAACUAAUCUGCCUUGAUACUUUCCCCUGAUGAGCCAUGUGUACUAUACAUAACAUGACAUGGAGGUGAGAAAUGCUUAGGGGAGAGCAGUGGAAGACACACCAGAUUUGAUAUAGUCAACAGUUAUUGUUGCCCAUCCUGAUUUGGCUUCCCAUGAACACUGUGGCACCUACGUUUGUUUCAAGAGUGUGAUAGGCUACUAAUACAAUGGGUUGCUAUAGAAGCUCACUAACUCGAAUCAGGCACAUCCUCCGCAUUACAUUCAUUUUAAAAGGUGCGAUAAAAUAUGGAUAAGGUGUGGUAUCAUAGUCAUUCACUAAAUUGAAUCAGGUGCGUCUGCCGGCUUCCAAAAGCUUAAAAUUUGUUUCCAGUGCUCCAGUUAUUAGGGUGUCCCUGAGUCCAUCCAGCUCUGGCCGGACCUGACUCAAGUUGGGGUGAAAGUAAAGACUUAAAGAAUUAGUGCUGACCAUAUAAUCCCAUCCAAGGUCAAACAAACUCUACCUUAUCAGUCAUGUUGACUUUCAGGUCAAAAUUGGAAAUUUACUUUUUAUGGUACCAUUACAUUUUCAUUUAAUUCAAUGGUACUUAAAAUAUUUCUGUAACUAUGAGUGAUUUUUUUUUUACAGAUAAAUAAUUGAAGCUCUUUACUGAAUUAGACCAUCAGUUAAAAUGUCAAGAGUGCUGUCUUUGAUAAUUGGAGGAUAUGCUGGAGUAUAUGCUGCUCAAAAUUAUUAUAUUCCCAGAUUGCCAUCUCCAUUGGGCUUAUGGGAGUAUGUUACAAAUAUGGCACAGAAGUUUGAAAAAAAAGAUGAUUGAUAAUAGUUUUAAUUAGGACUUUCUUGAAUUAUACUUUGUUUACAGUGUUGUAUAUUAAAGUUUCAUGAUUACAUCCAUCUAUACCAUUUGUAUUAUACCCCAGCAUAUAAAUAUAAUUGUAAGUAUUAGAAAUCAGCAUUGUAUUUUAACUGCAUAUUAAUUACUAAUAAAUUUUAUUGAUAA